RNAcentral lists this transfer RNA (77 nucleotides) under Nitrospiraceae bacterium. RNAcentral's name for it is "tRNA-Arg". It matches the Rfam family "tRNA". Rfam says of the family: Transfer RNA (tRNA) molecules are approximately 80 nucleotides in length. Their secondary structure includes four short double-helical elements and three loops (D, anti-codon, and T loops). Further hydrogen bonds mediate the characteristic L-shaped molecular structure. tRNAs have two regions of fundamental functional importance: the anti-codon, which is responsible for specific mRNA codon recognition, and the 3' end, to which the tRNAs corresponding amino acid is attached (by aminoacyl-tRNA synthetases). tRNAs cope with the degeneracy of the genetic code in two manners: having more than one tRNA (with a specific anti-codon) for a particular amino acid; and 'wobble' base-pairing, i.e. permitting non-standard base-pairing at the 3rd anti-codon position. The record is from RNAcentral. RNAcentral also lists the same sequence under 3 other names. Lineage: Bacteria; Pseudomonadati; Nitrospirota; Nitrospiria; Nitrospirales; Nitrospiraceae.
GGCCCCGUAGCUCAGUUGGAUAGAGCAGCGGUUUCCUAAACCGUUUGUCGUGAGUUCAAUUCUCGCCGGGGCCACCA